GUGUUAAAAGCUUCAAGUAAAUUAUUCUCAUCAAAGCUUUAUUUAAGUCCUCUUACAUGGAUCACGAUCCUGCAUGUCCUCAGGUUGAAGCCUGAAGUCAGCCUGGGCUCAUUUUAACAUUUUAAUGGAGGUUUUGUUUUCUGAGCUCUGUUCCAAAGCUUCAUUGGCCCUUUGAGAGGUCUCUGCUAUUGUUUUGUUCAAAGUGGCUAAAUCUUCCCUUAGGGGUUGCAAUGCUUUAGCCCAGUCUUGACCUAAUUCCAUCCUAAUUAAUGUGACAAGCUCCAGCGUGGCAUCUGUGAGUGCUUGUUACUCUGAUUCAUUCUUCUCUCCUCAAGGGGCCUUUGAAGCCAUUUUGAAUCUCACGAGGUUGUUGCUGUCGAAGCUUGAGAGGGAGGAUUUGUUAGGGAAAUCCAGGCCUCUAAGGUUCUUUUUUUAGCUCUGCAGCUGCUUUGAAGCAUGUCCCUUCAGAGGGUAUCUUUAGAAUUGCAAAAUGUUGAGGUAAGGUUCAAGUAGUGCUUUAUAUUUCUCCAGGGCGAGAGGGAGCUGCCAGCUAAGAUGCCAUCUUAAGCUGAUGACGUCAGCAUCCCCCAGCAGGAACCAUUCUGAUUAGAUCCCAGCUGCUGACCACCAGCCCACUCAUCUCUCACCUUCUACCACCACAUCAUCAACACAGCGCUUGAUCUGGAAGCAAAAGGCCAUCUGCACGUUGGGGAAGGGAUGUUUAUGAGGAAGCUGGAGGUCCCAGCGCUGGCACUCUAUGCCGGACUCAGUGUGAUCCACAGAGCCCCGAUAGUCCUCGCCAUUGCAUGACAUACAGACGGCUGCAAAGUUUGGUACCGGACAUUGGGAUCCAUUGUAUAGCACCAGGGACCUUGCAGUUCUCCAUCUGGAUUCCGGCAAUAAUUUUCGUCCAAUCCACCACCGUCCAGUGAAGGAAAUGUUCUGAGAAGAGAGAGGAGACCAGCAGGCUCAAGUAAAUGUUCCAAGCUGAAAUUAUCCCAUUAGUUAUUGAUGUUGAAUUCUUUGCAAAAUCAGCCCUCCAGUUACUUAACACGA
Molecule: long non-coding RNA, 1056 nt
Organism: Elgaria multicarinata webbii
Lineage: Eukaryota; Metazoa; Chordata; Lepidosauria; Squamata; Anguidae
Exons: 3
Source: RefSeq, a predicted model, not a curated record